UCUCACUACAGUGAUGAUCUCGGU
This 24-nucleotide non-coding RNA is filed under the name Cricetulus griseus (Chinese hamster). The record is from RNAcentral. Lineage: Eukaryota; Metazoa; Chordata; Mammalia; Rodentia; Cricetidae.